CAGAUAGAGUUUAUCAUCAAGCAGCUGAAUUCCGAAGAUUUACUGGAUGGUGUUCUUGAAUCCGAUGAUGACGAGGAUGAAGAUGAUGAAGAGGAUCAUGACAUCAUGGAGGCUGACUUGGACCCAGCUUGGAGAACUCUCAGGCGAGAAGCUUCUAACCACAGAGUACUUGGGAAUCAUGACCAACACUGGGAAGGCACGGAGGAAAGGGCUGGCCAGUGUGCAGUGGAGUGGGGAUGAGCCCCUUCGUCGGCCAGUCACCCCUGGUGGCCACAGGACAGGGUGCCCAGUGUAAGUUCGGGAUACAGGAGGCGGGAGUCUGUUUUCUUAAACUUUGUCUUGAUUAACUGCUGUGUACCAUGCAUAAUAAAGCAUUCACACUGGAAA
This 387-nucleotide long non-coding RNA is filed under the name Rattus norvegicus (Norway rat). RNAcentral describes it as "long non-coding RNA NONRATT029611". Lineage: Eukaryota; Metazoa; Chordata; Mammalia; Rodentia; Muridae. The record is from RNAcentral.